Molecule: non-coding RNA, 1746 nt
Organism: Heterocephalus glaber (naked mole-rat)
Lineage: Eukaryota; Metazoa; Chordata; Mammalia; Rodentia; Bathyergidae
Source: RefSeq, a predicted model, not a curated record
UUUUGCUCAAGGAUAUAGAUAUAUCUUACAAAGAGAAUUGAGAAUAAGCCAGAAUUUUGUCCUUCCUUGUACUUUGUCUUGAUAAGUCAUUUCAAAACCAGGUGUAGACACUGAGUCCUGGGAAAGCCACACAAAAUAGAACUACAGCAUAUUUUUCCAGAACUGUAGAAAUUCAAAACGAAUGAGAAAGAAAGAAGAGUCUAAAAAUAUUCUAUGCGGCAAUUCUUCUAAUGAAGGGAAAAAAAGACAAAAAGAACAUUCCUAGAAGUGUAAAUCACUAAAGCCCAGGAGAUUAGCAUAAGGAACCUCUACAAAUUAUAAUUAUAAACUGUUUAGAAAAAGAUUCUGCAUAAAAAACGUCAUCUAACAUUCUUCAUGUAGGAAUAAAUCACUAUUAUUUGUACUAUUAUUUGUAUCAGCAUUUCUAAGACACAGUAGGUGAAUACCACACCUAGCAAGUGCAAGCUCAUUUCCCCUCGGGACAAGAAUGGUGCAGAUGAACAUCUGAGUGCUCCUGGGAUUUUGUACGUGGAGGAUCCACAUUUUUAUUACUAUCACAUGGGAUGCAUGGCGAUUAGAAAUCUGUGACCGGAAAAAAAAAUUAGAAGAUGGCAGGUUUUGAGUGGUGACCCAAGAGAUACCAGCCAUUCAACUGUGACCCUGAAGCCCUACUAACAUAUGGGAGGAGGCUGCAACUAUCAGAACAUGGCCUAGAGAUCACUGCUGAAUUUCUGAUAUCCACAGUAUUGCUGCAGAGAAGUGCAAGGCUGAGUAUCUUCCAUUGUUAAGAAAGAAAGUCAUACAUAUGAAUGGGGUCUGCAGACAAUCUAAAACUGAAGUUAAACCUACCCAACUCGAUGUAAAGGGCAGGUUAACUGAGUAAACUCCACGGCUGCAACAGCAACAAAUCUAGUGAGGAAACAGUGUCCUUUACUUGACUUCUAAAGUAAUCUUGUCUCUACUUCAAAGCAUAAAUUGCAAUAAUUAGGCAUUUCUAGAACCAACAUUUUUAAAGAACAAAGCUAUAAUGUCACAACACUCUAGGUAACAGUCAAAGGCUAAGUGUCUUUAUAACAGGCUAUAUUUUUAGUGGCAACCCAUACUUAAUUUUUUAUACUUGCAACAACAAUUUAAGUAAAAAUAUGAAGAGCUAAUAAAUGCAAAUGUCUGUGUAAUACCAUACAUUUGGUGAAAAUAUUAUAAAGGCAUUGCUUUGUGUAUUUAUAACUCCAAGCACAUGUUUCUGCAAUAGUAUGUAUUAUUUCAAAAAUUGUCCUUAGCUUUUGCUUUGAUGAUUAGAUAUUACGCCUAGAUAAUUGUACUUUAGAAUCAAGAGGAAUUAUAAAGAUGAUGUAUAAUGGAUUAGAAGCAAUGGGUUGUAGAGAACACUUCAGGUAUCUUAUUAUGAGAGAUAAGCCUUUGUCUGCAUAAUCUCUCCACUAAUAUAUUGCUGUAAUUAUUUCUGUAAAUAGGAGCUUCUGUGAAAUUCACAGGACACAGGCAGUGCUACCAAUGCAGGUCAAAUCCCUGAGGUUCAACAGCAAGCAAGAGCAAGAGGAAGCACCCUGUCCAAGCAACAGAGCUGGGCAGGAUUCACUGAAUCCAAACCCUGUUUUCUUUUCCUUAUGCCAAGCUACCUCUCAGGAAACUUAGAGUCAAUAUUUUCAAACUGUACCACGUUUUGACCUAGUGUCAUUAUCUGCCUGCCACACUGAACAAAAUUCUAUGAAUUCUAUUACAAAAUAA